RNAcentral lists this ribosomal RNA (493 nucleotides) under uncultured bacterium. RNAcentral's name for it is "partial 16S ribosomal RNA". It matches the Rfam family "Bacterial small subunit ribosomal RNA", at positions 30 to 507 of the family's 1533-position model. The record is from RNAcentral.
UUGAACGCUGGCGGCAUGCUUUACACAUGCAAGUCGAACGGCAGCGGGGAGGAGCUUGCUUCUCUGCCGGCGAGUGGCGAACGGGUGAGUAAUACAUCGGAACGUGUCGAGAAGAGGGGGAUAACCACCCGAAAGGGUGGCUAAUACCGCAUAAAUUCUGAGGAAGAAAGCUGGGGACCUGGGAAUAGGCCUAGCGCUUUUUGAGCGGCCGAUGUCGGAUUAGCUAGUUGGUGAGGUAAAGGCUCACCAAGGCGAAGAUCUGUAGCGGGUCUGAGAGGAUGGUCCGCCACACUGGGACUGAGACACGGCCCAGACUCCUACGGGAGGCAGCAGUGGGGAAUUUUGGACAAUGGGGGCAACCCUGAUCCAGCCAUGCCGCGUGUAUGAAGAAGGCCUUAGGGUUGUAAAGUACUUUUGUUAGGGAAGAAAAGUCAGCUGUGAAUAAUGGCUGAUACUGACGGUACCUAAAGAAUAAGCACCGGCUAACUACGUG